Eptesicus fuscus (big brown bat) is the source of this 702-nucleotide long non-coding RNA. RefSeq lists it as uncharacterized. The transcript is spliced from 2 exons. Lineage: Eukaryota; Metazoa; Chordata; Mammalia; Chiroptera; Vespertilionidae. The record is from RefSeq and is a predicted model, not a curated record.
UCGGCCAAUCGAAGCCGGGCGCCCCUUCCCCCCUGGGCCGCCCCAACAGCCGUGGCUCGUGGGGUUCCUCCCAGACGCCAACGGAGCGGGGGUCGCGUUCACGCCGGGUCCCCGGACCCCCACCCUCAGCCAACCCCGGACCGGGACCCGAACCUGGACCCCUACCCCGACCAGGACCCUUAUCCGGAUCCGGACCCCCACCCGGACUCCAACCCGGAUCCCGACCCCGACCCGGAUCCGGACCCAGACCCCGACCCGGACCCCGACCCGGAUCCCGACCCCGACCCGGAUCCCGACCAGGACUCCAACCCGGAUCCAGACCCAGACCCGCCCCCAGACCCUCUCCCAGACCCAGACCCCGGACCUGGAACCGUGAACCCGGCCCAGACCCCAACGGGGACCCCGCAGGCCUGGGCUGAUCCGCUCUGCCAUCUGCCCCCGAGCCAAGUGGCCCUCCCUCCAGACGCACCGUCCAGUUAGACCUCGGCUUCCCGAGAGCGUGCUGCCCGCGUCCUCGGCUCUCCGGGAAUGAGAUGCUGGGCCAGGUGGCCGCCCGCCGGCGUCUGCAUCGCCAGGACACGCGCCAGACCUGCCCCUGGCGCCUCAGGCAGCUGGUCCCGUGGUCGGCUCUGUUGUCGCCUGAACGGGUGACCUGUCCCGAAUGGUGGUGUGUGUGCAGUUUUUAAACACUUUGACCUGAGA